UGGGGAAUUUUGGACAAUGGGCGCAAGCCUGAUCCAGCCAUGCCGCGUGUCUGAAGAAGGCCUUCGGGUUGUAAAGGACUUUUGUCAGGGAAGAAAAGGAUAGGGUUAAUACCCCUGUCUGAUGACGGUACCUGAAGAAUAAGCACCGGCUAACUACGUGCCAGCAGCCGCGGUAAUACGUAGGGUGCGAGCGUUAAUCGGAAUUACUGGGCGUAAAGCGAGCGCAGACGGUUACUUAAGCAGGAUGUGAAAUCCCCGGGCUCAACCUGGGAACUGCGUUCUGAACUGGGUGACUAGAGUGUGUCAGAGGGAGGUAGAAUUCCACGUGUAGCAGUGAAAUGCGUAGAGAUGUGGAGGAAUACCGAUGGCGAAGGCAGCCUCCUGGGAUAACACUGACGUUCAUGCUCGAAAGCGUGGGUAGCAAACAGG
This 429-nucleotide ribosomal RNA is filed under the name bacterium. RNAcentral's name for it is "partial 16S ribosomal RNA". It matches the Rfam family "Bacterial small subunit ribosomal RNA", at positions 355 to 776 of the family's 1533-position model. The record is from RNAcentral.